GUUAAUUUUGAACUGUUUAUUGGUAAAGGUUAAGAGCAAGUCUGUGUUCUGUCCUAAGUCACAUAAUGCGCGGGCCGGUUCGAGAGUGCGAGCAUGAACGCGUCUCCCAAAAACCUCCCAAACAACUUAAAUUCGCGAGUGUGAGGAGUGAGGGCGCGAUCGUAGAGCAAGGAAAGGUGGUUGCAGAGGGGAAGGAAAGGUGGCAUCGAGAAUGAAAAACCCCUCGUCACCUUUGUCAAAAUUGGCGAUUUUCAAACUGUUAGAAAGGUGGUUGCGGAGGGGAAGGAGGGUGGUUAAACCAAAAUGGCAUUGCAAAGGUGGAGCAACGCUGUCAUUUUUUUGAAAAGAUGACUCUGUAGCUAGCCAAAAAAUGGCUUCGGCAAUGCCAUUUUGGCACAACAGGUAGACUUGCUCUAAGUCGAUUUUCAAACAAGAUUUAGGGAAGAUGAAUGACUGGGUGAAAGUCUAAUCGAAUUAGUGUUGUUUUAACUUCAUCUGAUUUCUGUACGGGAAAUUUUUGGUGGGUGAAUUUCAUGAUCAUCACCAUAAGCAAAUUAAGAAGUGGAAUUCUUAAGAGCUCUAUUUGCAUGGGAAGAAGAACAAUUGGAAGUGCUAAGGGAGAAGCGAUGGGUCUCUACAUUAUGUCUUUAUAAGUUUUCCUCGUCCAAUAAAUGUGCUUUCCAAACGCAAGGAUACAUGACUUGGGCCAUCUGACAUUUGUUGCAGGUUUAGUAUUGUUGCUAAUUUUGGUUACUUAAGAAUGUAUUUGACAGCCAAGACAGUUAUAUUAAAUUGCUGAUUGCCGAUAAUUUGACGUGAGGUGGGGGAGGCGAGAGAGCUCCAACUAGAGAGUGAGGAGUUCAUUGCUGGGAAAGUGAGAAGAACAUGAACAUUGGAGUACAUGUGUAGGUUGUCUAAAUUUACGCUGAUGAGUAGUUGGUAUAAUGAUCUUGGUUUCCAACCUGUGAAAUGUCUUUUCAGCCAUGAAGCUACCCUCUCUACGUUGUUCAUUUACAUGGUAGUGUCCUAUUAGAUGUCAUAAGCUGAAAAUAGACUAUUCACACUGUGGACAAAAUCUAGGUCAUAUAAUCCUUUGAUACGACUCUUCACGAUAGUCUCCUUUUAGACGUCAUAAGCUGAAAAUAGACUGUGUUUGUAGUUUCAUAAUGCACCUUAUUUGCAAUUUAUAUAGGCCCAUAUAUAAGCAUGUGUGCUUGUACAUUUACGUUGAGACAUAUACCAAUAACAUCUAGUAUGGGCUAUUCCAUUGGUAAGUGACGGUUAACCUUCUUGUACUCUAAGAGGCAGGUUUUAAUAGCAGCCCCAUGUUGUCUUUCCUAUCACCCAAAGUUCUAUGUUUAAACUUAAAGACUUUCUCUGCUGAACUUGAUGCGAGGACUGAUAACAUCCAGGUGGUUUUCAUCUUGGUGGUGGGAUCAAUCCAGACAAUGCCUUGAGUUACAUUGAGUAAUCUUUACCACAUUGCAAUCACAACGAGCAGUUCAGGAAUUGUUGACCUAGAAUGAGAAUUCACAGCCUACGAACCACCACAACCUGAUCAGGCCGCAGUUCGUUUUCUGCAAUCUACAAUGGCAAUAACAACAACAAUCAUCAAAAGUAUAUGUGGACUGUACCUUCAUCCAUCUCUAGGCCUCGUCAUGGACUGUGCAUCCAAUGUGGAGUUAGGUUCCGCCCUUGCAUUGACAUACACAAGGUUGGACUUCUUCACAAGUACCGAUUUGUGUUUUCAUACCUCUGUGUUUGAGAUAUUGAAAUGUGAACCUGUUUAAGUAGGGUGAAAAGAAUUCGCCAAAGGUAACUAUCCUAGCAAGAUUUACUAAGUUCUAUGUUUGUUGGAAUAUUUCUUAAAGAUAUGCUAUCUAUUCAUUUAAUAAUUAGUUUAGUAGUCGUAAGCUAGGUAGUAUAUUAUUUUCCAGAGACAUAGGAUGUUAGAUAACAAAGUUUGAAAUUUCUCUUGAUGACCUUUUGAUUUCACCAGCUGAAUGUUGGCCAUGCACAAUCACUCGCUGGAUCUUAGGUUUUUGAUAAGGUUGCAGGUUAUCAAGGUUGCAACACAUCUCAAUAUCAAUUGGCUUUUCCACGUAGUUGUGUCCUUGUGGAGGAAUCAGUAAAUUGUCAUGUAAUGGCUUUAGGUAAUGGCUGCAACUGAUUUAGAAGCGUGAAACUUACAACAAAUCUCAAGCUUUUAAAAUGGAUUUUAGAUGGUUACCGCUCGACCCCCACGUGGAGGUGGUGUGGCAUUCAAUGGAGCACAAUGUGUUUAAACUAAGCUUGACACUGUAAAUAAACAAGUUCUAUGUUGUCUAAAGUACCCAUGUUCGACACUUGGGGUAAGGGUAUGGGAUCCAUUUCGGACAAAUAUAGUUGUAUACUCACUCCCAACAAAUUGAGUGAUCCAGGUUUACAAUAUAGGCAUGCCUAGAACUCUAUAAGUAUGCUUGAAUUGCUCUACAACACAUUAUAGCAUCAUUUUGCAGUAGACAUAACAAAAGUAAGUUGAUAAUUACGUACAUGUUGACAUGUCCAUACGUGUCCUUGUAUUUGAGACAUACAAGAAUCCAACACCAGGAGGUUGGACGCAUACCUGCUACCUAGACUUCAUGUAACAUAGGGGAGAUUUUUUGAUGGAGCAGGGACUAGUUGCCCAUCACUUAAGCUUAUGUGAUUCCAUUCCCCUUGCGACUCAAUUGACCUUACGAAUUCAGCUUUCCUCUACUCAUUUCGUUUUAUAUAUCCGUAUUCCAUCUCUGUCUCCCUCCUUCCAUCGACAGAUUUCUUUUCCUUUUUUCUCCUUUCUUUUUCAAGUUAUAUUCUUGUUGAAUUGGUAGAAGAAGCGACUGUCAUGUGCGUUGUCACCUAUAAAUGAGCUUAUGAAAUUUUUAGCUCAAGUACCUGGAAUGUUUAUUACAUAUCAUAUUCAUAUGGUUCAACUUGCGACUUUCUUGGUGGCUAGCUAUUGUGUUGUCUACCCUUUUUUCCUCCCCAUCUCCUACUAUAAGUAACAAGUCUGUAAUAUAGCUGCUAGUACAAUGGAAAACAAGCGUGUUUGUCUAAAAUAAUAGCACCGAGCUCAUGUUGAAAUUGGAUUCGUCUAGGCAAUGACUGUAAUGAUGACACUCGAUUUAUACGGGGGACAUUUAAACUUGACUUGUGGAAUUUUCUCAUAUUUUACUGUUUAGAAAAGUUAUCCUUGGAGUUCUCUUUGCUAUGUCGAUUGGACGUUUUACCCAUGAGAGAAGCUAACAUGUAACUCUAUUUUUGUCGAAUAGAAUCUUUCAUGGUUCUCACCUUAGAUUUGCAGGAUUUUCUUCUCCGUGCUCUAGUGUUGAAGCUGUAUAGACAAGCACUGAGGAUUGCCAGAAGAGGCCCAUGCCAUGCUAGAGGUAGCUUCUGAUUAGAAGAAUCUUUUCAUGAAUUAAUCUGUUUGGUAGACACGAAAAGUAGGUAUGAAUUCCAACCACUAUAACGGAAAUCACAGAGUAUAUAUGAUCUGGUCAAUCUGAACUUGUCCUUUCCUUCUGGUCAUUCCUAUCUGUUUGCUAACUUGUUUGGAUGUCUUAAUCUUCCUUGGUGAAUUCUUUACUCUUCUUAGUCAACAUUUAACGAGUUUUUGUCUUUGAUGAUUGUAUAGUCAAAAUCUCAAGAGUCGUCUAAAUUGUUUAGUUCUAAUUGCAUUUGCCCAAGUCUAAUGGAGAUGGAGAUUGCCUUAAUUACUGAUGGAAACAGCUGAUCUGAUGCACAUGGAGAACAACCGGAAUUGUAGCGGCAAGCAGAGGAUUCGUUUCUUGAUAAAUGAUAAGCGAGGGAAGGGAAAGUUGAAAGGCUUCGAUGAGAUGCUUGAGAUUUUUUUUUUCCGACAAACUAGAUCACCCCUGAUAUUAUAUACAAGAAAAAUACAAAUGCUUGAGAAUUGAUAUGCGAGGUAUUUGACUGUGUAGUCGUUUGUGUACUUAGAAUUAAAGAGGACUUUCUCGUGUCUCAAAGAAUAUAAAAAUUGUUUUGAAAGGUCAAUGAUAAUGUACCAAUUUAUAAAACCUUGGGGCCAUAGAAGGAUUUGUCCGGUCAUUAACUUCAAGGCCCCAGAAUUAGUCAAGGUGCGCAGGCUGGUCCAAACAUCCAUAAUCGAAAAAUUGAUAAUGUACCAAUCUUGUUCUCAGUAUAUGCAAAUUCCCCAGACAGAUUGUACCAAAAUUUUUAAAUGUUCAUCGAAAAUGCUUCUCAUUUA
Rhododendron vialii is the source of this 4246-nucleotide RNA transcript. RefSeq lists it as uncharacterized. Lineage: Eukaryota; Viridiplantae; Streptophyta; Magnoliopsida; Ericales; Ericaceae. The record is from RefSeq and is a predicted model, not a curated record. The transcript has 3 exons.